UUAUAGAAGGUCCCUGCAGAUUUUAACUCUCAACUAAACAGAUGUUAACAUGGGGGUGAGAUCUGAGAAUGCUAGCAUAAAUUUACAGAGACAAAUCCAUAGAUAUCUUCAUCAUCACAAGUAGGAAAGACUGUAUGCAGAUGGUAAGAGGUUGAAGAAACCAGAAAUCUUUUUUUUUUUUUUUCAGACGGAGUCUCACUCUAGCCUAGCUGGAGUGCAGUGGCGUGAUCUCCACUCACUGCAAGCUCUGCCUACCGGGUUCACGCCAUUCUCCUGUCUCAGCCUCCAGAGUAGCUGGGCCUACAGGCGCCCGCCACCACGCCUG
Molecule: long non-coding RNA, 325 nt
Filed under: Pan troglodytes (chimpanzee)
Lineage: Eukaryota; Metazoa; Chordata; Mammalia; Primates; Hominidae
Description: long non-coding RNA NONPTRT015276
Source: RNAcentral